AGACCCGAAACCCGGUGAUCUAGCCAUGGGCAGGUUGAAGGUUGGGUAACACUAACUGGAGGACCGAACCGACUAAUGUUGAAAAAUUAGCGGAUGACCUGUGGCUGGGGGUGAAAGGCCAAUCAAACCGGGAGAUAGCUGGUUCUCCCCGAAAGCUAUUUAGGUAGCGCCUCGUGAAUUCAUCUCCGGGGGUAGAGCACUGUUUCGGCUAGGGGGCCAUCCCGGCUUACCAACCCGAUGCAAACUGCGAAUACCGGAGAAUGUUAUCACGGGAGACACACGGCGGGUGCUAACGUCCGUCGUGAAGAGGGAAACAACCCAGACCGCCAGCUAAGGUCCCAAAGUCAUGGUUAAGUGGGAAACGAUGUGGGAAGGCCCAGACAGCCAGGAUGUUGGCUUAGAAGCAGCCAUCAUUUAAAGAAAGCGUAAUAGCUCACUGGUCGAGUCGGCCUGCGCGGAAGAUGUAACGGGGCUAAACCAUGCACCGAAGCUGCGGCAGCGACACUCAGGUGUUGUUGGGUAGGGGAGCGUUCUGUAAGCCUGCGAAGGUGGCCUGUGAGGGUUGCUGGAGGUAUCAGAAGUGCGAAUGCUGACAUAAGUAACGAUAAAGCGGGUGAAAAGCCCGCUCGCCGGAAGACCAAGGGUUCCUGUCCAACGUUAAUCGGGGCAGGGUGAGUCGACCCCUAAGGCGAGGCCGAAAGGCGUAGUCGAUGGGAAACGGGUUAAUAUUCCCGUACUUGGUGUUACUGCGAAGGGGGGACGGAGAAGGCUAUGUUGGCCGGGCGACGGUUGUCCCGGUUUAAGCGUGUAGGUGUGUGUUCCAGGUAAAUCCGGUUCACUUUAACACUGAGGCGUGACGACGAGGCACUACGGUGCUGAAGCAACAAAUGCCCUGCUUCCAGGAAAAGCCUCUAAGCAUCAGGUAACAUCAAAUCGUACCCCAAACCGACACAGGUGGUCAGGUAGAGAAUACCAAGGCGCUUGAGAGAACUCGGGUGAAGGAACUAGGCAAAAUGGUGCCGUAACUUCGGGAGAAGGCACGCUGACACGUAGGUGAAGUGAUUUACUCAUGGAGCUGAAGUCAGUCGAAGAUACCAGCUGGCUGCAACUGUUUAUUAAAAACACAGCACUGUGCAAACACGAAAGUGGACGUAUACGGUGUGACGCCUGCCCGGUGCCGGAAGGUUAAUUGAUGGGGUCAGCGCAAGCGAAGCUCCUGAUCGAAGCCCCGGUAAACGGCGGCCGUAACUAUAACGGUCCUAAGGUAGCGAAAUUCCUUGUCGGGUAAGUUCCGACCUGCACGAAUGGCGUAAUGAUGGCCAGGCUGUCUCCACCCGAGACUCAGUGAAAUUGAACUCGCUGUGAAGAUGCAGUGUACCCGCGGCAAGACGGAAAGACCCCGUGAACCUUUACUAUAGCUUGACACUGAACAUUGAGCCUUGAUGUGUAG
RNAcentral lists this ribosomal RNA (1450 nucleotides) under Salmonella enterica subsp. enterica serovar Newport. RNAcentral describes it as "partial 23S ribosomal RNA". It matches the Rfam family "Bacterial large subunit ribosomal RNA", at positions 711 to 2141 of the family's 2925-position model. Lineage: Bacteria; Pseudomonadati; Pseudomonadota; Gammaproteobacteria; Enterobacterales; Enterobacteriaceae. The record is from RNAcentral. RNAcentral also lists the same sequence under 1 other name.